This 301-nucleotide ribosomal RNA is filed under the name uncultured bacterium. Its description in RNAcentral is "partial 16S ribosomal RNA". It matches the Rfam family "Bacterial small subunit ribosomal RNA", at positions 509 to 807 of the family's 1533-position model. The record is from RNAcentral.
CAGUCGCCGCGGUAAUACGUAGGGUGCGAGCGUUAAUCGGAAUUACUGGGCGUAAAGCGUGCGCAGGCGGUUCGUUAAGACAGAUGUGAAAUCCCCGGGCUUAACCUGGGAACUGCAUUUGUGACUGGCGAGCUAGAGUAUGGCAGAGGGGGGUAGAAUUCCACGUGUAGCAGUGAAAUGCGUAGAGAUGUGGAGGAAUACCGAUGGCGAAGGCAGCCCCUUGGGAAAGUACUGACGCUCAUGUGCGAAAGCGUGGGGAGCAAACAGGAUUAGAUACCCCGGUAGUCCCUGUCUCUUAUAC